CGCAGGGCGGCAGGCUUACACAUGCAGUCGAGCGCCCCGCAAGGGGAGCGGCAGACGGGUGAGUAACGCGUGGGAACGUACCUUUUGCUACGGAAUAACUCAGGGAAACUUGUGCUAAUACCGUAUGUGCCCUUCGGGGGAAAGAUUUAUCGGCAAAGGAUCGGCCCGCGUUGGAUUAGCUAGUUGGUGAGGUAAAGGCUCACCAAGGCGACGAUCCAUAGCUGGUCUGAGAGGAUGAUCAGCCACACUGGGACUGAGACACGGCCCAGACUCCUACGGGAGGCAGCAGUGGGGAAUAUUGGACAAUGGGCGCAAGCCUGAUCCAGCCAUGCCGCGUGAGUGAUGAAGGCCCUAGGGUUGUAAAGCUCUUUCACCGGUGAAGAUAAUGACGGUAACCGGAGAAGAAGCCCCGGCUAACUUCGUGCCAGCAGCCGCGGUAAU
RNAcentral lists this ribosomal RNA (441 nucleotides) under Brucella anthropi. RNAcentral describes it as "bacterial SSU rRNA". It matches the Rfam family "Bacterial small subunit ribosomal RNA", at positions 38 to 524 of the family's 1533-position model. The record is from RNAcentral. Lineage: Bacteria; Pseudomonadati; Pseudomonadota; Alphaproteobacteria; Hyphomicrobiales; Brucellaceae.